UUAAUUGAAACCAAAAAAGAGGUAAGUUAUUGUUAAUAAUUAUAAUGAAAAUAUUUUCCAAUUAAA
This 66-nucleotide transfer RNA is filed under the name Evania appendigaster. RNAcentral's name for it is "tRNA-Asn". Lineage: Eukaryota; Metazoa; Arthropoda; Insecta; Hymenoptera; Evaniidae. The record is from RNAcentral.